RNAcentral lists this long non-coding RNA (1143 nucleotides) under Equus caballus (horse). RNAcentral's name for it is "lncRNA (ENSECAG00000047412.1)". The record is from RNAcentral. Lineage: Eukaryota; Metazoa; Chordata; Mammalia; Perissodactyla; Equidae.
GUAGAGAAGCGUGACUGAAUGUGAGCAUAAAGUGCCUCCUGAGUUCACUUACCCAGCUUAUUGCACAGGACGUGAAUAUUAACUCAUCUACUCAGUCAGAGCCAUAAACAGGAAAAACCUGGCAAGGGAGCCUCAGCCCUGUAUGCUUACUGCAUUAGGAACCAGGAGUAAAGGAAGGUUGGGCACGUCUGAGCCCGGAAAGUGGAAAGAGGAAGGAGUUAGUGGGAAUCAGUAUCUUUGUCCAUUGGUAACCACAUACAGUGACUGGUUGAUGUGGGUUAUAAACGCCUGGCUCACUUGGCUCAUUUGGAGCAACUCUGAAGAGCCAUCCAAGUUUAAAGCUCACCACGGGGUCUGCUGAAGCUUUUGCUCUGACUGCAUGAUGGCUCAACAUCACCUUUUGCCAGUCUUUCUGCUUUUACUCUCCAACAGGUGUUGAUCCUGAGAGCAUCCUUGAGAAUCCACCUCUGUGCAAACUUCAUGUCACAGUCUACUUCUCAGAGAAUGGGACCUAGGAAACCUCCUCCACAAAGUCCUCCCUCACCCAUUCCCAGUGGACGGAGUAGCUGCUCCCAUGUCCUGAUCCUGAUGGGCAGUCCUCUUGGAUGUAAGCCGUGUGCUGACAUCAUGCACCUGUGCAGAUUAGCCCUGAGCUAACUGCUGCCAAUCCUCCUCUUUUUGCUGAGGAAGACUGGCCCUGAGCUGACAUCCAUGCCCAUCUUCCUCUACUUUCUAUGUGGGACGCCUACCACAGCAUGGUGUGCCAAGUGGUGCCAUGUCCGCACCCGGGAUCCGAACCCGCGAACCCUGGGCCACCGAAGUGGAACAUGCGCACUUAACCGCUGCACCACCAGGCCGGCCCCCAAUUUCAUUGUUGACUUGCUUUGUUCUGGUGACUAUUGCAAUUAAACAUAUUCUUAUGUUUAUUGCCAAUUGACAUUUUUUCUUUCAUGAAUUGCAAAUUCAUAUUCUUUUGUCUUUCCAUUGAUUUGUUUUUUUCCUGAUCAGUUUGGAAGAGUUAUUUGUAUAUCAUGGAAUGUUAAUUAUUUCUCUAUUAAAUAUGUUGCAAAUUUUCUCUAGCCUAAUAUAUGUGCAUAUGACUUUUUGUUAUUUGUUCUAAAUACACACAUUUUCUUUAUAUAU